GUCGGGAUAGCUCAGCUGGUAGAGCAGAGGACUGAAAAUCCUCGUGUUACCAG
Molecule: transfer RNA, 53 nt
Filed under: Potentilla caulescens
Lineage: Eukaryota; Viridiplantae; Streptophyta; Magnoliopsida; Rosales; Rosaceae
Description: partial transfer RNA-Phe
Rfam family: tRNA
About the family: Transfer RNA (tRNA) molecules are approximately 80 nucleotides in length. Their secondary structure includes four short double-helical elements and three loops (D, anti-codon, and T loops).
Source: RNAcentral